UUAAAGGGUGCGUAGGCUGCACGGAAAGUUGGGUGUGAAAGCCCUCAGCUCAACUGAGGAAUUGCAUCCAAAACUGCCGUGCUUGAGGGAGACAGAGGUGAGCGGAACUCAAGGUGGAGCGGUGAAAUGCGUUGAUAUCUUGAGGAACACCGGUGGCGAAAGCGGCUCACUGGGUCUCUUCUGACGCUGAGGCACGAAAGCUAAGGUAGCAAACGGGAUUAGAUACCCCGGUAGUCUUAGCUGUAAACGAUGAGCACUUGAUUGGAGGGUCCUCCAUAGCCUUCCAGUCGUAGCGAAAGUGUUAAGUGCUCCGCCUGGGGAGUAUGGUCGCAAGGCUGAAACUCAAAGAAAUUGACGGGGGCUCACACAAGCGGUGGAGGAUGUGGCUUAAUUCGAGGCUACGCGAAGAACCUUAUCCUAGUCUUGACAUGUAUGGAUUAACCCUGUGAAAGCAGGGCCACGCCUUCGGGUGGAACAUACACAGGUGCUGCAUGGCUGUCGUCA
Molecule: ribosomal RNA, 504 nt
Filed under: uncultured Planctomycetota bacterium
Lineage: Bacteria; Pseudomonadati; Planctomycetota
Description: bacterial SSU rRNA
Rfam family: Bacterial small subunit ribosomal RNA
Source: RNAcentral